RNAcentral lists this long non-coding RNA (225 nucleotides) under Marmota monax (woodchuck). The record is from RNAcentral. Lineage: Eukaryota; Metazoa; Chordata; Mammalia; Rodentia; Sciuridae.
ACAUCUGUGCAAACCCAUAAAACACACAACUCCAAGAGUGAACCCUAACAUAAACUAUGAACUGGGUGAGGAUGACGUGUCCAUGUAGGCUCAUCAGUUGUAAAAAAGUGCCACUCUGAUAAGGGACACUGAUAAGGAGGGAAGCGAUGCAAGUGGGGUUACUUAGGGGAUAUAUGGGAACUUUGCACUUUCUGCUCAACUUUGUUAUGAAUUAAAACUGCUCUA